UGCCAAUCAGCAGUGCAGAGAUGUGACGCCUGUGUAAUUUGGAUUCAAUGCCCCCCAGGGUCAGACAGAUGAACCCAGCAGGUGAGCUUGGCAGGAAGUCUGACUGCAGUCCUUGCUGAGAGGAUGACACAGGCCAAAGAGAGGAAGGAAAACAACAAGCCAGAGCUCUACAGCACUUUGCAGUUGCAGAGCUUUCCAGGUUUCUCUGGAAAAUGGAAGAAAAGGAGAGCAAAGGGCAGAAGAAGAUGGGUUGACAACUGCCUUCAGAAAGCUGACUCAGGGAUUCACCUACUGGUUUGUUUUCUAGGUCGGAAACUGCGAUGCGAUGAAUGCGCGCCACCCACAGCUGGAACAAUCCGCCGUUUCUCCCCAGUUGAGUUUGACAACAACUCUCCAACCCCGGGAGCGUCCUGCCAGCCGGCCUAGUGGAAGUGACCUUGUGUCGCUGCUGCCUUUCCGAGAUGGCGCCCACCAGCAGUGGCUCUGAAUCUUCCUGGCCUCCUCCUCGCCAUUUGCGCCCUGCCAUGAAGAAGGCCUUCUCCCUGACGACACUACCCGGUUUUGGAGCCCUGCGCUCCCUGCUGUUCUCCUGCCCAGUCUCUGUUCACUUAACCCUUCCCCCCACAUUUUCAAUUUCAUUUUCCAGAGUUGCCCAGUCU
Molecule: long non-coding RNA, 659 nt
Organism: Urocitellus parryii (Arctic ground squirrel)
Lineage: Eukaryota; Metazoa; Chordata; Mammalia; Rodentia; Sciuridae
Source: RefSeq, a predicted model, not a curated record